RNAcentral lists this long non-coding RNA (1421 nucleotides) under Monodelphis domestica (gray short-tailed opossum). RNAcentral describes it as "lncRNA (ENSMODG00000038659.1)". The record is from RNAcentral. Lineage: Eukaryota; Metazoa; Chordata; Mammalia; Didelphimorphia; Didelphidae.
CCCUAUUCUUCGUACUUUGCACCCAUUCAUUUUGGAGGAAAGGAGAAGCAAAUAAGUAGAAUAUGUGUUCGAGAUAUCUUUACAUACACAUCCCGAAGAUAUGAGAAGGAAAACACCCCUUCUUUCAUCUCCAGGACAGGAGCCAGAGUUGCGACGAGGUGGACUCUAGAACUGCAACAGGUGAACCGCAUCGCUGAGCUCCUCGGCCAAGUUAACGGAAGGUGUAGGAGAGGAGGAAAAAGGAACCGAAACAUGAGAGAUCUCUCACUGAUCAGGGUAAUCCGAAGUGAGACACCGAGAUUCCAGCUCCAGUCUGUUCUGAGUGCCUACGCUCAGCUCUUGAAAGGGGUUCGGUUCAGCUUGGAAAUCCUUGAUUUAGAGACUGGUUCCCAGAGGUGGUACUAAUCUGAGUGAAAACCCAGCAACCAGGUCUGGCAUAUACACAGACCUCCAUAGACUUGCUCAGAUGGUGGAACUUUUCUACAAGAUGGGAAGCCUGCUUGAACCAAUUUUGGGCCAACUACUUGGCAUUCCAUUUGUGACUACCUUGCUCACAACAUGAGAAGGAGAGAGGUCAUGGAGCCUUCUUCUCUCUGAAAUCAUGUUCCUUCCCCAAGAAUCGGAUCUCUGUUCCUGUCCUCUGCAUUUGUUCUCCCUUUUAGGUGAAAGAGAUCAGAGCUUCUCUUGUAAAUUUAAAAGGUCUGGAGGCUUUCAGGGCUCAAGUUUAUAGUGGUGUUGUUUCCUGGGUCUUAUCUAUCAGUCAUGCUAUAUAUGGACAUGGAUUUGAUGAGACUAAUGGGAUGUAGGAACUGAGCUAAGUUGAACCUGCUCUCCCCAGAGACUGAAGCAGUACAGGAAAAAUGUAUGCUCCUGAGGUACUGAAGGAAAUAUUUGUAAGUUUGUUCUAAAUUUCUCUCUCUGAAGAGAAUACACAUUUUUCUAUUACCUAUUAUGUGCUAAGCACUUUUCAAAAAUAUUAUCUCAUUUGAUUCUUACGACAACUCUACAAGAUAGAUUUGAGGCAAUUGGAGGUUAAGUGACUUGCUUGCAGUGACACUGCUCUUAAUUGUCUAAGGUAAGAUUUGGACUCAAGUCUUCCUGACUCCAAGUCCAGUGCUUUAUCCGCUGUGCUACCAUUCUGAAUAAUUAUAGUUAUUUCUGCCUCUGAAGAAAAUAUCCUCUGCAAAAGCUAAUUGAUGUUAAGUGGUUAAAUGGAAUUUGAGAAUGCUAGUAACUGACACCUAACUGUGUUGGGGGAAUAGUAAUGAGAACAAGGUAAGUAGGGGCUCAAGCCAAUGGCUUUAGAAAGAACACCCUUUCACCACCCGGUUACCUAGCUUUCCAAUGGGAUGAUAUAACCAGAAAGGCUCUGGGAGAGGGAUCCAAAGCAUAGAUGCUACACAAGGAUGAAGAAAGAAGCU